GACGAACGCUGGCGGCGUGCUUAACACAUGCAAGUCGAACGGAAAGGCCCUGCUUUUGUGGGGUGCUCGAGUGGCGAACGGGUGAGUAACACGUGAGUAACCUGCCCUUGACUUUGGGAUAACUUCAGGAAACUGGGGCUAAUACCGGAUAGGAGCUCCUGCUGCAUGGUGGGGGUUGGAAAGUUUCGGCGGUUGGGGAUGGACUCGCGGCGUAUCCGCUUGUUGGUGAGGUAGUGGCUUACCCAGGCUUUGACGGGUAGCCGGCGUGAGGGGGUGACCCGCCCCACUGGAAGUGGGAAACGGUCCAGGCUCCGACGGGAAGCAGCGGGCGGGAAGCUGCCGCAAUGGGCGGAAGCCUGGCGGAGCAACGCCGCGGGGGUGAUGAAGGUCCUCGGAGCGGAAAACUCUGUUAGGAGGGAAGAACAAAUGUGUAAGUAAAUAUGCACGUCUUGACGGUACCUAAUCAGAAAGCCACGGCUAACUACGUG
This 488-nucleotide ribosomal RNA is filed under the name uncultured bacterium. Its description in RNAcentral is "partial 16S ribosomal RNA". It matches the Rfam family "Bacterial small subunit ribosomal RNA", at positions 28 to 507 of the family's 1533-position model. The record is from RNAcentral.